RNAcentral lists this ribosomal RNA (239 nucleotides) under uncultured bacterium. Its description in RNAcentral is "partial 16S ribosomal RNA". It matches the Rfam family "Bacterial small subunit ribosomal RNA", at positions 118 to 354 of the family's 1533-position model. The record is from RNAcentral.
UGAGCAAUCUGCCCUUCUCUUCGGAAUAAGCGUUGGAAACGACGUCUAAUGCCGAAUACGACCUCCUUUCGCAUGAUCGGAGGUGGAAAGCUCCGGCGGAGAAGGACGAGCUCGCGGCCUAUCAGCUAGUUGGUGUGGGUAACGGCCCACCAAGGCGACGACGGGUAGCCGGCCUGAGAGGGUGACCGGCCACACUGGGACUGAGACACGGCUCAGACUCCGUACGGGGAGCAGCAGGG